CUGAGCGACUUUCACUUUAACACAUAAUUAAAGGCUUUAAAUUUUUUCAGCUUUUACCUGAGCUCUGUGGAUUCCUCCCAGAUGGAAGCACCUGUCUGAGCUUGAAGAGUACCUCCCUCGAUUCCCUGGGCCAAACUCGAACUUCACUUGGCCACCACUGAAUUUAGGGUGACCAGUUGAGUAAACAGCUAGAACUGAUGUUUAAACCACCACACUCCACAAAUUCUGUCCAACCCAGCACUCUCUUCUUGUUUGGAACCCAACACUGGGAACGCGUGCCUGCAUGCGCUCCCGUCACGUUUGUAGGCAUGAGUUAGUAAGGAACAAGGCCUACUUGUUCCUUUGGUUGGAAGCAGCCUCCUCUAGACAUCGACUUUGUUACUGGCUACUUCAGAUCUGAGAUGGUGGUGGGGAGGGGGAGCGGAAGAAAACCAGCUUCCUUGGUGGGGGGAAUGGCAUGGGAGGGUGGCGCCCAGGUGGGUGUCUAUGGGUCUGCUGAAGCCGGCUAAGUACCUCAGUUCUGAUACAUAGUCUCAUUCUUUCCAGAUUAUAUUGUCCCAACUUCCACACAGGCAUUCUGUGGCUAUUUCAACCCUGUGAUUGUAAGNNNNNNNNNNNNNNNNAUCUGCAUAGCAAGUCCCAAUUCUUAUGUCUAUAAAGUGGCAACACUUUAGACUCUGUGUUUGCUGUCUGAAAACUUUCAGUGCUAUUAGAAAUUGCUGCUCUGCCUACAAUCCUGACUUCCUUUUCCCUUUCACACUGUUCUGUGGCACUGCCGACGCAGCUUCCUCAGGCCUGGCCCCUGAUGAACAGUUUGUUUUAGGGGCCCUCAGGUAAUUAGUCAUUCUCCACCAUAGGGCAUGGGCUGCUAGGCUCCCAUCCCUGAAUUAGCGGAAUUUUCACUCAGGGCAGUGUAGCUUAUCUCCCCAAAUUUUCUUUCUCCAAAUUUCCUUACUCCCCUAUUUAUCAGUUUUCCUUUGAAAUUCUUGGUUUUAAGCAACAGAAAACAAUUCUAGCUGACUUAAGCAGAAAAAGAACUUACUGGGAGCACCUCAAACAGCUCAGAGUCAGCUGGAAGCCAGGAGUACCAGCAGUUCUGAGGCAGGGCUUGAGGAUGCAUGUCUAAUAAACCCCCAGGAGCUGCUGAGGCCUGGGGGGCCACUCUGAAAAUCACA
This 1175-nucleotide long non-coding RNA is filed under the name Capra hircus (goat). RNAcentral describes it as "lncRNA (ENSCHIG00010028598.1)". Lineage: Eukaryota; Metazoa; Chordata; Mammalia; Artiodactyla; Bovidae. The record is from RNAcentral.